AGGCGGAUAUAUAAGUCGAGGUGAAAUUCUGAUGCUCAACAUCAGCCGUGCCUUCGAUACUGUAUAUCUAGAGUCAAGUUGGAGUAGGCGGAAUGUGUUGUGUAGCGGUGAAAUGCUUAGAUAUAACACAGAACACCGAUCGCGAAGGCAGCUUACUAAACUUUGACUGACGCUCAUGCACGAAAGCGUGGGGAUCAAACAGGAUUAGAUACCCUGGUAGUCCACGCUGUAAACGAUGAUUACUCGCUGUUGGCGAUACACAGUCAGUGGCUAAGCGAAAGUGAUAAGUAAUCCACCUGGGGAGUACGACGGCAACGUUGAAACUCAAAGGAAUUGACGGGGGCCCGCACAAGCGGAGGAGCAUGUGGUUUAAUUCGAUGAUACGCGAGGAACCUUACCAGGGCUAGAACGCAAGUUGAUUAUGUGCGAAAGUAUAUAUCUCUUCGGAGCAAUUUGCGAGGUGCUGCAUGGUU
This 473-nucleotide ribosomal RNA is filed under the name uncultured Bacteroidales bacterium. RNAcentral describes it as "bacterial SSU rRNA". It matches the Rfam family "Bacterial small subunit ribosomal RNA", at positions 573 to 1050 of the family's 1533-position model. The record is from RNAcentral. Lineage: Bacteria; Pseudomonadati; Bacteroidota; Bacteroidia; Bacteroidales.